This 398-nucleotide ribosomal RNA is filed under the name uncultured bacterium. RNAcentral's name for it is "partial 16S ribosomal RNA". It matches the Rfam family "Bacterial small subunit ribosomal RNA", at positions 523 to 918 of the family's 1533-position model. The record is from RNAcentral.
AUACGUAGGGUGCGAGCGUUGUCCGGAAUUACUGGGCGUAAAGAGCUCGUAGGUGGUUUGUCGCGUCGUCUGUGAAAUUCCGGGGCUUAACUCCGGGCGUGCAGGCGAUACGGGCAUAACUUGAGUACUGUAGGGGAGACUGGAAUUCCUGGUGUAGCGGUGAAAUGCGCAGAUAUCAGGAGGAACACCGGUGACGAAGGCGGGUCUCUGGGCAGUAACUGACGCUGAGGAGCGAAAGCGUGGGUAGCGAACAGGAUUAGAUACCCUGGUAGUCCAUGCCGUAAACGGUGGGCGCUAGGUGUAGGGGUCUUCCACGACUUCUGUGCCGUAGCUAACGCAUUAAGCGCCCCGCCUGGGGAGUACGGCCGCAAGGCUAAAACUCAAAUGAAUUGGCGGGG